This 497-nucleotide ribosomal RNA is filed under the name uncultured bacterium. Its description in RNAcentral is "partial 16S ribosomal RNA". It matches the Rfam family "Bacterial small subunit ribosomal RNA", at positions 28 to 507 of the family's 1533-position model. The record is from RNAcentral.
GAUGAACGCUGGCGGCGUGCCUAAUACAUGCAAGUCGAGCGAACGGACGAGAAGCUUGCUUCUCUGAUGUUAGCGGCGGACGGGGGAGUAACACGUGGAUAACCUACCUAUAAGACUGGGAUAACUUCGGGAAACAGGAGCUAAUACCGGAUAAUAUUUUGAACCGCAUGGUUCAAAAGUGAAAGACGGUCUUGCUGUCACUUAUAGAUGGAUCCGCGCUGCAUUAGCUAGUUGGUAAGGUGACGGCUUACCAAGGCAACGAUGCAUAGCCGACCUGAGAGGGUGAUCGGCCACACUGGAACUGAGACACGGUCCAGACGCCUACGGGAGGCAGCAGUAGGGAAUCUUCCGCAAUGGGCGAAAGCCUGACGGAGCAACGCCGCGGGAGUGAUGAAGGUCUUCUGAUCGUAAAACUCUGUUAUUAGGGAAGAACAUAUGUGUAAGUAACUGUGCACAUCUUGACGGUACCUAAUCAGAAAGCCACGGCUAACUACGUG